GAGCAUAGUUAAAACAAAUUCUAGCCUGUGACGCUAGAGAUGAAGAUUAGUUAUCUUCUGCUCACC
This 66-nucleotide transfer RNA is filed under the name Allobates carajas. RNAcentral's name for it is "tRNA-His". Lineage: Eukaryota; Metazoa; Chordata; Amphibia; Anura; Aromobatidae. The record is from RNAcentral.